This 29-nucleotide non-coding RNA is filed under the name Mus musculus (house mouse). Lineage: Eukaryota; Metazoa; Chordata; Mammalia; Rodentia; Muridae. The record is from RNAcentral.
UCCUGGCCUCAAGAAUCUGCAGAUAAAGU